Molecule: ribosomal RNA, 406 nt
Filed under: uncultured Gammaproteobacteria bacterium
Lineage: Bacteria; Pseudomonadati; Pseudomonadota; Gammaproteobacteria
Description: bacterial SSU rRNA
Rfam family: Bacterial small subunit ribosomal RNA
Source: RNAcentral
CCCGCCCGCCUACGGGAGGCAGCAGUGGGGAAUAUUGGACAAUGGGGGCAACCCUGAUCCAGCCAUGCCGUGUGUGUGAAGAAGGCCUUUUGGUUGUAAAGCACUUUAAGCAGUGAAGAAGACCAUACGGUUAAUACCCGUAAGCGAUGACCUUAGCUGCAGAAUAAGCACCGGCUAACUCUGGUCCAGCAGCCCCGGUAAUACAGAGGGUGCAAGGGUUAAUCGGAAUUACUGGGGGUAAAGCGAGCGUAGGGGGCUUGAUAAGUCAGAUGUGAAAUCCCCGGGCUUAACCUGGGAACUGCAUUUGAAACUGUUAGGCUAGAAUAGGUGAGAGGAAGGUAGAAUUCCAGGUGUAGCGGUGAAAUGCGUAGAGAUUUGGAGGAAUACCCAUGGCGAAGGCAGCCUU